AUGAAUGAGAAGACGUAGGUUACCAAAACUAGCCAUCCAAUCGAUCUGUGAACAAGUUGUGCUCCACCAAAACAAGUUACGCUCAAUAAUCAGAAGGAGGGGAGGGGGGGCGGCUGCGGGACACCAUUUGAUUAGGCGCACGAUCGCGCAUCGGAGAGGAGAGGGGAGUAAGAAUCACAAUCGGUCAAAUCUUGUCUCCAUGCAGAGAAGUAAAAGUCGUCAUUUUGAAAACGGUAAAGAUUAGAAGGAAAGCAGGACAAUGAGUAAAGACAGAGUGAGCAUAGAAGCUGGGAAUCGAUUGGCGCGGCAACUACAGCAGAGUCAAAAGUUCAAAGUGGUGCAUACACUGACCUUGUGCCAUGGAGUUCGGGGCGAUUGUAACAAGCAAUUGAUUGAGCGGUUUGGAGGCGCCAGAGCAAAGCCCGAAGGAGAAAGUAGGCAAACAAACGCGUUGCAGAGGGCACGAAGAUAAGGAAGGGAGAGAGGCCGUUCUAUCUGUCAGGGGAAUUUAAAGCGGAGGAUUUCGGUCUGUAAGAAAGAGGCACGUCGUCAGAGAUUGCGAAAGGCACUUACAUGUGAAAGGGUCCGUAACAUAGGAGAACCAUUUUGUAGAUAAUAAUUUAUUUUGUAUCCAAUUUGCCAUGCCAAAUAUGGAUAAUGGUUUAUUCAUGGAACUGUAAUGAAACAACUGAAGUGUAUUUAGUUAGGUAUUUACUUUUUAAUCUACUUAAAUAGAAUAUCGAAGUUUUUGCUGAGAAGCACUAGGGUUUUUAGUUUUGGUUCACAAAAUCAACAAGUUAAGUUUUGAGUCUGUUUCUGGUGUAGAUUGUAGAGGUGGUUCUGCUUCAGGGUCUUGUUCAUCCUAUCACCUGUGUUCUGUACCUCAUUGCCCUUGAAACUGAUCCCAGGGAGACAAAUUCAAAGCUAGCUCAUCAUUUGCUGAUGAAUAUGAAUGAUAAGUGCAACCCUAAUCAAGUAGGUCCAUAGUGAUUAUGAAUCUUGUAUGCUCUGGAUUCAUUGCAGCUCCUUUUCAGGUACCCAGCCUUUUUUGAAAGCAGGUUAGGGUUCAGACGUCAUUUAUUUUUUCCUCUGAAGAUGCCAGCCAGAUUAAUUUCAAGGUCCUGGAAAUACGAGGGGAAGUCUGACAGGGCAGCAUUAGCCCAAGCUAGGGUUGGAGUCUCUCGGAUCUACAUGCUUAUACGUGGAAAUCAGGUUUCUAGAAACAAAUUUAUGGCUUCAAUUAUGCGCAAAUUUGAUAACCCCGCUUGGAAUGAUUCAGUGGUGCCAUUUUUUACGCACUGUACAAAAAUACUUGCUUUAUUACCGUUCACCGUGCCUGACGAGCCGCUCUAUUUGAUUUAUUCUAUAAACCAAAUAAUACAAGUUAGGGCUGGUGCCAUUGAGGCAAACUUGAAGGCAUAUUGUUCAAGGUUGUUUUCAAGAGGAAGCCAGGGCACAGGCCACAGUAAUGGAAGUAUCCAACAGGAGCAAGUUGCUCAACCUUUGUUUGGUAACUCAAGAGCCGUAGAUCUGAAUGGGACGACGAUUCAGGAAGAGUCAUUUUUUCAGCCAGUUCAAGGCCAUAUGGGAUCACUGGAUCUGAAUGGCAGAAUCCCGUCUGAGGCGGUUGAUAAAUCUGGUGCUAACGGUGCUUAUACUGAAGGAGAAGCCCCUUUUUUGGGUUCAAGUGAACCUCAUGGAAUAUCUGGUGACGACCUGCAGAAAAUCCUAGUACUCUUCUAUCCAGUAGAUAAAGCAAUUUGUUUUCUUCUAGGCAUGUACAGAGUUCCAUUUUCGGAUGAUGAUAUCUGAGAUAGAAUUGGUGAAAAAACAAUGUCUAUGAAGUGCUUCCAAUUACCUAGCCCAAAAACCAUUUUAUAAUUUGAGAAAGACUCCAGUUGAUUUAAGAACCUCGGCUGUUGCUCCUAUCAUUUCCUGCAAUUUAAUUGGAUAGGAAUUUUCCUAAAUUCAUGCAAUGAUUUAUGUUCUUUGCUUUUCAUCCUUGCCUCUAGUCUAACAAAAACUUAAGCUGGUAUACCUUCCACUAGAUUGUUCUUGUAAUAUACAUUUUCAGCGACAUAUUUUCUAAUACAUCAGAUAUGGAUAGUUUAAACCUUUUUUUGCCUUGAUGGAAAAUAAGUCAUUGCCGGUGUAACUGGCUUCAAGUUGCUUCAUAGGAUAAUCUCCACUGCCAGCAAAAUCUGCUUCUUUGAUGAGCUGGCAUGAAAGGGAAAUCUCAGUGUGGUCUUUUAGUUCUUUCUACCUUUUUGGCAAAAGAUGUUGUCAUAGCACUUUUAUCUGGGACUCCUGCAAGUGGACUGUCUAGCGGCUACUACCUAGAAGCUCCUGCUGAAGCUAAAAAAGCACUUGAAGGUUACGUAUACUCUCAACAAUGCUCGGUGCCAGGCUCUCUCUCCGACUGAACCCUUGAAACCGGGUGAUGUUCUCACGAAGCAAAAUAUUCCCUUCAAUCUCAGCGGCACCCGAAGCGAUUUGCCUUUGACUCCUCAAGAAGUAUUUCAAAUAUAUCAGGAUCUCUUGGCUACAUGUUCUAAUCUGUAAAGAUAGACUGAAUCUGUUUGGGAAGUGAGAUUAGAUCGACUUCUUCCAUAGUUCAGGGACACUUGAAUUGGAUUUCUGGUUUGAGAGUAUAUAGAAGGGACCUUCGUCUAGGAGAGGGUCUGAACGAGCAGCAGUGGCAGAUGAUGAAGACGACAACGAGGAGGCCUAUGCAGGGGGAGCCCGUAUAGCAAGCAGUGGCAGACGAGGCAGUUACAGGACGAGGCAGCAGUGCUAAGUAGUGUCUGUAAAAUAGCAGGUUAGGACUAACAUCUGUACAUCCUUCGCAGCUUUUGAAAUGAAGUUAGGAUCUUUUAUGAUAGAAAAGAACAGAGGGAAGGACAGAGAAAUUGGAAAAAGUACCGGGAAAGAGAACUGGGGCCCAAAGGAGCUCGGGACACUUCCAAAUCCGAUGAUUGAGCAUAUUGCGUCUAGUUCCAGCUUCAUUAGAUUAGGCAUUAUAGUGGAAGUCGAUUCUUUCUUUUGUUUACUAGAUUUCAUCCUGAUUUUCUGGAGGUGGUUCCGGGCCUCUGCCCGGGAGUGCAUUGGAUUGUGUUCUCUCUCUCUUACAAUAUAAAUUACAUUUCUGUAGAAAUGUUCGUUGAUAUGGCCAAAAAAAAAAAGAGUUUAGCCUCA
This is a non-coding RNA of Punica granatum (pomegranate), 3195 nucleotides long. The record is from RefSeq and is a predicted model, not a curated record. Lineage: Eukaryota; Viridiplantae; Streptophyta; Magnoliopsida; Myrtales; Lythraceae.